RNAcentral lists this ribosomal RNA (1223 nucleotides) under Seynesia erumpens. RNAcentral describes it as "LSU rRNA". It matches the Rfam family "Eukaryotic large subunit ribosomal RNA", at positions 103 to 1357 of the family's 3401-position model. Lineage: Eukaryota; Fungi; Ascomycota; Sordariomycetes; Xylariales; Cainiaceae. The record is from RNAcentral.
AACAGCUCAAAUUUGAAAUCUGGCUCACGCCCGAAUUGUAAUUUGUAGAGGACGCAUUUGGCGCGGCCCCUUCCGAGUUCCCUGGAACGGGACGCCUUAGAGGGUGAGAGCCCCGUACGGUCGGAAGCCUAGCCUCUGUAUUGCUCCUUCGACGAGUCGAGUAGUUUGGGAAUGCUGCUCUAAAUGGGAGGUAAAUUUCUUCUAAAGCUAAAUACCGGCCAGAGACCGAUAGCGCACAAGUAGAGUGAUCGAAAGAUGAAAAGCACUUUGAAAAGAGGGUUAAACAGCACGUGAAAUUGUUGAAAGGGAAGCGUUUGCGACCAGACUUUUUCCGGGCGGAUCAUCCGGGGUUUUCCCCGGUGCACUUCGCCCGGUCGAGGCCAGCAUCGGUUUGGGGAGGGGGAUAAAAGCUUAGGGAACGUGGCUCCUCCGGGAGUGUUAUAGCCCUUCGUAUAAUACCCCUCCGCGGACCGAGGAACGCGCUCUGCAAGGAUGCUGGCGUAAUGGUCGUCAACGACCCGUCUUGAAACACGGACCAAGGAGUCGAACAUUUGUGCGAGUGUUAGGGUGUCAAACCCCUGCGCGUAAUGAAAGUGAACGGAGGUGAGAGCCCUUCGGGGUGCAUCAUCGACCGAUCCUGAUGUUUUCGGAUGGAUUUGAGUAAGAGCAUAACUGUUCGGACCCGAAAGAUGGUGAACUAUGCGUGGAUAGGGUGAAGCCAGAGGAAACUCUGGUGGAGGCUCGCAGCGGUUCUGACGUGCAAAUCGAUCGUCAAAUCUGCGCAUGGGGGCGAAAGACUUAUCGAACCAUCUAGUAGCUGGUUACCGCCGAAGUUUCCCUCAGGAUAGCAGUGUUGUCUUUAGUUUUAUGAGGUAAAGCGAAUGAUUAGGGACUCGGGGGCGAUAUAUAGCCUUCAUCCAUUCUCAAACUUUAAAUAUGUAAGAAGCCCUUGUUGCUUAAUUGAACGUGGGCAUUCGAAUAUUCCAACACUAGUGGGCCAUUUUUGGUAAGCAGAACUGGCGAUGCGGGAUGAACCGAACGCGGGGUUAAGGUGCCAGAGUGGACGCUCAUCAGACACCACAAAAGGUGUUAGUACAUCUAGACAGCAGGACGGUGGCCAUGGAAGUCGGAAUCCGCUAAGGACUGUGUAACAACUCACCUGCCGAAUGUACUAGCCCUGAAAAUGGAUGGCGCUCAAGCGUCUCACCCAUACCUCGCCCCUA